UCCAGACUCCUACGGGAGGCAGCAGUGGGGGAUAUUGCACAAUGGGGGAAACCCUGAUGCAGCGACGCCGCGUGAGUGAAGAAGUAUUUCGGUAUGUAAAGCUCUAUCAGCAGGGAAGAAAAAAGACGGUACCUGACUAAGAAGCCCCGGCUAACUACGUGCCAGCAGCCGCGGUAAUACGUAGGGGGCAAGCGUUAUCCGGAUUUACUGGGUGUAAAGGGAGCGUAGACGGCAAUACAAGUCGGAAGUGAAAUACCCGGGCUUAACCUAGGAACUGCUUUGGAAACUGUAUGGCUGGAGUGCUGGAGAGGUAAGCGGAAUUCCUAGUGUAGCGGUGAAAUGCGUAGAUAUUAGGAGGAACACCAGUGGCGAAGGCGGCUUACUGGACAGUAACUGACGUUGAGGCUCGAAAGCGUGGGGAGCAAACAGGAUUAGAUACCCGCGUA
This 446-nucleotide ribosomal RNA is filed under the name uncultured bacterium. RNAcentral describes it as "bacterial SSU rRNA". It matches the Rfam family "Bacterial small subunit ribosomal RNA", at positions 330 to 792 of the family's 1533-position model. The record is from RNAcentral.